Molecule: ribosomal RNA, 305 nt
Filed under: uncultured bacterium
Lineage: Bacteria
Description: bacterial SSU rRNA
Rfam family: Bacterial small subunit ribosomal RNA
Source: RNAcentral
UUCCUACGGGAGGCAGCAGUGGGGAAUAUUGGGCAAUGGAGGAAACUCUGACCCAGCAACGCCGCGUGAAUGAUGAAGGUCUUCGGAUUGUAAAGUUCUUUUCUAAGGGAAGAAGAAAGUGACGGUACCUUAGGAAUAAGCCUCGGCUAACUACGUGCCAGCAGCCGCGGUAAUACGUAGGGGGCAAGCGUUAUCCGGAUUUACUGGGUGUAAAGGGGGCGCAGACGGCAAUGCAAGCCAGGAGUGAAAGCCCGGGGCCCAACCCCGGGACUGCUCUUGGAACUGCAUGGCUGGAGUACAGGAGG